This is a long non-coding RNA of Lucilia cuprina (Australian sheep blowfly), 132 nucleotides long. RefSeq lists it as uncharacterized. The record is from RefSeq and is a predicted model, not a curated record. The transcript has 2 exons. Lineage: Eukaryota; Metazoa; Arthropoda; Insecta; Diptera; Calliphoridae.
GGAGCAAAUUAAGUGUUCUAAUCCAGCUGAUUUUUAGAGUUUUUUUUUACUACCUUUCACAAGAACAAGUACUAUCAUGUGAUAUAAACAAAAGUAUUAAAAUCAGCUGGAUCAGAACGCUUAAUUUAAGCC